GACGAACGCUGGCGGCGUGCCUAAUACAUGCAAGUCGAGCGGACCGAAGGGAGCUUGCUCCUUUAGGUUAGCGGCGGACGGGUGAGUAACACGUGGGCAACCUGCCCUGCAGACUGGGAUAACUUCGGGAAACCGGAGCUAAUACCGGAUAACACCGAAAACCGCAUGGUUUUCGGUUGAAAGGCGGCUUUUAGCUGUCACUGCAGGAUGGGCCCGCGGCGCAUUAGCUAGUUGGUGAGGUAACGGCUCACCAAGGCGACGAUGCGUAGCCGACCUGAGAGGGUGACCGGCCACACUGGGACUGAGACACGGCCCAGACUCCUACGGGAGGCAGCAGUAGGGAAUCUUCCGCAAUGGACGAAAGUCUGACGGAGCAACGCCGCGUGAGCGAAGAAGGUCUUCGGAUCGUAAAGCUCUGUUGUCAGGGAAGAACAAGUACCGUUCGAACAGGGCGGUACCUUGACGGUACCUGACGAGGAAGCCACGGCUAACUACGUGCCAGCAGCCGCGGUAAUACGUAGGUGGCAAGCGUUGUCCGGAAUUAUUGGGCGUAAAGCGCGCGCAGGCGGUUCCUUAAGUCUGAUGUGAAAUCUCGCGGCUCAACCGCGAGCGGCCAUUGGAAACUGGGGAACUUGAGUGCAGGAGAGGGGAGCGGAAUUCCACGUGUAGCGGUGAAAUGCGUAGAGAUGUGGAGGAACACCAGUGGCGAAGGCGGCUCUCUGGCCUGUAACUGACGCUGAG
RNAcentral lists this ribosomal RNA (741 nucleotides) under bacterium IMCC8897. RNAcentral describes it as "bacterial SSU rRNA". It matches the Rfam family "Bacterial small subunit ribosomal RNA", at positions 28 to 750 of the family's 1533-position model. The record is from RNAcentral.